RNAcentral lists this ribosomal RNA (468 nucleotides) under uncultured bacterium. RNAcentral's name for it is "partial 16S ribosomal RNA". It matches the Rfam family "Bacterial small subunit ribosomal RNA", at positions 28 to 507 of the family's 1533-position model. The record is from RNAcentral.
GACGAACGCUGGCGGCGCGCCUAACACAUGCAAGUCGAACGGAGCUGAGAGAAGCUUGCUUUUCUUAGCUUAGUGGCGAACGUGUGAGUAACGCGUGAGUAACCUGCCCUGGAGUGGGGGACAACAGUUGGAAACGACUGCUAAUACCGCAUAAGCCCACGAUCCGGCAUCGGAUUGAGGGAAAAGGCUUUAUUCGCUUCAGGAUGGACUCGCGUCCAAUUCGCUAGUUGGUGAGGUAACGGCCCACCAAGGCGACGAUUGGUAGCCGGACUGAGAGGUUGAACGGCCACAUUGGGACUGAGACACGGCCCAGACUCCUACGGGAGGCAGCAGUGGGGGAUAUUGCACAAUGGGGGAAACCCUGAUGCAGCGACGCCGCGUGGAGGAAGAAGGUUUUCGGAUUGUAAACUCCUGUCGUUAGGGACGAUAAUGACGGUACCUAACAAGAAAGCACCGGCUAACUACGUG